RNAcentral lists this non-coding RNA (65 nucleotides) under unclassified sequences. RNAcentral's name for it is "S15-Flavobacteria ribosomal protein leader". It matches the Rfam family "S15-Flavobacteria ribosomal protein leader". The record is from RNAcentral.
UAUCUUUGCAGCGUUCUUUCACGGUGAAAGACGUACAUAAUAAUCAUUGAAAUAAUAUUUGCAUG